UUAGAUUAUAUUUAUUAAUUUUGUUUAUUUACAUUUAAAAUAUUAAAAAUAAUUAUAAAAUAAAAUGUUUUAGUAUUGUUUAAAGAAAAAAUAAAUUUAAUAAUAGUUUAAUAGUAUUGUAAAAGAAAAUUGAAAUAAUUUGAAAAAUUUUUUAUUAUAAAAGAAAAUUUAAUUUAUUGUACCUU
RNAcentral lists this ribosomal RNA (185 nucleotides) under Drosophila soonae. RNAcentral's name for it is "partial 16S ribosomal RNA". Lineage: Eukaryota; Metazoa; Arthropoda; Insecta; Diptera; Drosophilidae. The record is from RNAcentral.